This 676-nucleotide long non-coding RNA is filed under the name Salvia miltiorrhiza (redroot sage). Its description in RNAcentral is "long non-coding RNA (SMIL_LNC001003)". Lineage: Eukaryota; Viridiplantae; Streptophyta; Magnoliopsida; Lamiales; Lamiaceae. The record is from RNAcentral.
CCCUACCAACUUUACACUCUCCUCCCUUUAUUCUUAAUCUCCGUGCCCAACUCAAAAGUGCCAAGUCUAGUGGGACGGAGGGAGUAGUAUUUUUAAUUAUAUUUAGAAUUUUUAUGUAAUAAUUAAAUGAUAAUCAAUUUUAUACUAUAUAAUAAAAUAUAAAAAUAUUUUUCGUGCGUUGCACGAGUGCAAAUGCUAAUCUAUACUAUAUUUAAAAGGGAGUUCUCAAUUUAAACUUGAUUUCAAAUCAAUUUGAAACUGAUUUUAAUGGUAAUUUUGAAAAUAUUUUUAAUAUGAAGGUUAUGAAUUAAAUGAUCCAUUCACAACCCCACUAUCUCUCACUCACAUUCUCUCAUAUCUAAUUAAAGUAUUUAUUAAGUCACUAACUCACAAAAGGUUUAUUUAAAAUUCUAUAAUUUAUAAAAAGGUUUAUUUUGUUUUUCUUUAACUUUUUAUUUCUUUGUUUUGUUUUUUCUAAAAUUAUGGAAUUCGCAUAAUUAUAAUAUAUUUAAUAUGCGUAUCAAAUUAAAGAUCACGAUAAGAGCUUUAAUUUGAUAUAGCUUAUGUAAAUAUUUCAUUUGAAAUAUAAAAGUUAUAUUUAUUUAAAGAUUAAAAUUUAAAAAAAAAAAUUCUCUCUCUUCUCUCAUCUUUUUUUGAAUAAAUCAAUUGUUUUAAU